UGAAGGAUGAUGUGUUACAGAUGCUGCGUGCAGAUAUGUGAGAGCAGUUGCAGAGCUUGUUGCUGGGUUUCCACCGAGGGGAUAAUUAAAAAUGAGUGCCAGCCUUGAGCAGUCAAUUAGCACUGAGUAACAAGAUGAAAGAUAAAAGGCAGAUGUAAUCAUAUUUCACAAAUAAUACAUCAGUGUGCCUCUAGUCUAAGAAUCCUUUCUAAAUCAGCUUUUCACAGCAAGUGAACAUAUUUUUUUCUAGUUUCCUGCGGCUUCUUUUAGCAUUCAUCUAGGGAAUGUGAGUGCUGGACCACAGACACUCUUCUGGUGGGUGUCUGUGGUAGGACAGUCUACUACAGUGUACCCUGAGAACGUUUGGGUAGAAAUUUGGGAUCCAUUUCUGUUUCUUGGUGCAAGUUUGGUAGUACAAUUUAUCUGUGUGAUAGAGGCCAAGGGGAUUAGACAGGGAAAUGGGAUGUAGAGGAAUAGGGAAGAGUGUGAAGAGGAGUUUGAGGCAGCAGCAAGGAGAAGUGGUUUAGCAGGAGAAAUGGAAGCUGGACAGGAGGAUAAAUGGGAGAUUUAUCAAUUGUGUGCCUCACAGUUGCAUUUGUACCUUUUUUCCUGCCUCUCCUGGUGAGGUCACGUUAAAGAAUCAUGGAUUCUUUAACCACCAUGUUAGUGCCAGGAUCUCAAAACUAUUUGCUCUUAUGAGGAGAACAUUGUUCCUAACAUUGUCAGGAGCCUUUCCAUCUGUCUGGAGGGCAGGGGUCCAGCACGUUCAGAUCAUGCACCAGACACAGAAUGAUAAAACCAAUAAGGGAUAUUUAAAAGUGUUUUACCUCUGCCAUAAUGGCUUCUCUGUUCCUCAGCCUUCAGGCCCCUUUCUGUCUUUUGAGAGGCAACAGUUGGUAGUUUUGGCCAGAUAGAGAGGAGAGAUGAAAAGGAAAUUUCUAUCCAAAUGUCUUCAGAACAUAAUGUUGCUAAAGGAAAUAAAGGAAUGUAAAAUAAAAACAUACAUAAUAUUAUUUUGCUGCUUCUUUUCCAGCCUCAUAUUGGACCCACUUGAUAUCUCAGGCUAGCUAAAUAAACAUUUACCUCUGCAAAAAGAAUUUCCAUUCAUAAUAAAACCAAAUCCAAUUGUAAAGCUCUGCUCAAGGAGAAUUAAAAUUGCCUGUCAGUUUACUUGCUUUCCAGGAAACAGCUUAGCAAAAUUCUUAUUCUCCAAGGAUCAUCAGAGCUGUAAUACCUCCCUGUGAGCUUACUGUACUUUAAGAAACAGCAAGGCAAAUUUACAGGAACAGGCUUUAGCUGAGCUGGCUCAUAAUUGUAGGCUGCUUUGAUGUUUUCACUUGGAAGGUGUUUUUCACAAUGCAAGAUGUUUAUACUUGCUGUUCUAAAGGACUAAUUCAAACAUCAGGCUCUGAAAAUCAGGCAUAGCAGACAGUCCUCCUAUCCUAGGAGCACUUGAACAGAUCUGACAUAGAAAGGACAUUGGGAUUUUUCCUUGUUUUUGGGGGUAAAAGCUUUGCUGAAAAGACAGAAGCUAAUCCAGAAGUUGAUGACAAUGCAGAGGAGUCAGAUGAAAGCUGCGUCUUGGCUUUCUGUGCAAGAUUUCAGUUCACUGCCUGCGAGUCUCUUGGGCUCAGGAGUGGCAGCUGCUGGUUUGAUUCCAUUUGUGAAACGCGGAGUACUCAAAGGGAGGUACCGAUUGGAAAAGACCAAAGGCAUCUGUAAGCUCAGGGUUCUGAAGCACCCUCCAACAACCUGUCCACAGCAUCUUCCAUCCGCUCCAAGUAGGAAGCAAAUGGACUGAGAAGAACGGGCCAUUAGCAGUGAUUGCACAACCCGACCUCUUUGAUCGGGUGGCAUUUAUUCAGUGAGCCAGCGAGCCUUUUUUUUGGUUCACCUCCCUCAUUUUAUCUGGGUGUUUUGUGGGCAAUCUCAGCUGAGAGUUAAGACAGAAAGGCAAAGAAACAGGGCUAAAGUCAUUGCUGGGGCACUGCGGGGAAAUGUGGGAUCUUUCAGUCCUGCUCUCGCUGCUCUGAUACCUCCUCUGAGCGGAGAUUUGACAGUAAUGUGUGUAAUUUCAUCACAAACCCAUUACUCUACCAAAAUAUUUCAUUGUAUUAUACUCCAUCCAGGACUGAAGAAAGUUUCUAUGCUAUUAUCCCUUCUACAGAAAUUCCACGUGCAUUAGGUGCUUCCCAAAAGACAUGUAGCUGCUCCUGGCAAUUAAGUGAUUUCUAAUUAAAAUUAUAAUUUAAUUAAUUACAAUAAUUCCAAAUAAUUUGGAAAAUGUAUGGUAUUUCAGAUUUUUAAACACCUUAGAAAUAUGAGUCUUGGAUAUGAUUAUUGAGCAAUGACUAAAAAAAUCAGGAGUAUUUGUAGUGGUAACUGAAAUUACCACUUGUUUCCAGUUAAUCCACUGGGCAUUUAUAAAGUCAUAUCUUAGAGAAAGUAGAUUGGGCACUUACUUCUAUUUCCACAAUCUUUAUUAGCUAGAUUUAAAUGCUCAUAUUUACUCACAUAAAUUUACUCAUACACAUAAAUCACAUAGAUUUACUCACAUAAAACACAAUUAAUUGAAGAAAAGAUGGUGCAAUAAAAGCAGAAACCUCCUGCAAUCCACCCCCAGCAGUCAUAUGUGCGUUGACUGUUUUACAGGGGUUUUUUAAUAUCCUGUUUUGCAGACAAUAUUGCCACUCCCAGGGAUGGGGGAUUCCCAGCUCUAUGCAUUACUUUUACACAUACAACAAAGCUGUCACAUUUGUCCUCCAGAACAUGACAAUCUACAAAACUAGCUGGCGUGGCUUCUGACUGCCAAAGAAGCAUAUAUUUAUUAAUGGAAAGCACAAGCUUCCUUCAGAGAAGUAAGUCCACUAUGAAUUGGAAGCAAAAGGAGCCUGAUGAUAACAGUGUAUACUGGAAGCCUCCCCAUUUAUCACACUAUUUCAUCCCUCUGUUUUUAAACAAAAAUCAUUCUCAGGAAGUAGCAAGGCUUGCAAAUAUUUCUGCUGCUGGAUUAACUGGAUAUUAUUAAACCACAGAGAGUAAUGAUGCACAGAAAGGGCAAGACUUUCCUGUGGCACAGGAUAGAAACUAUAUGUGAAUACUCAAACUUUUGAUGGCAUUUUGAUGGAAUUUCUAACCAUUGAUGCAGAAAACCCAUUUACAGCACAAAGUGGAACAGGCUAAUGAACAAUUUGGCCACUCAGUGCUACCUGGGAGUCAGUCACUUCCUCUGCCAUGGCUUAAACCCAGGCAGGCACCAAGCACCGCGCAGCCGCUCGCUCGUCCUUGGCUCUGUGCUAGCCCUGCUCAGCAAUAACAAAAACAUCUCUCUGUUAUCAACACUGUUCCCAGCACAAAUUCAAAACACAGCCCCACACCAGCCACUGGGAAGAAAAUUAAUUCUACCCCAGCCAAAACCAGCAUGCCCUAGCUAAAGCUUUUUGAGAUCAGUAAGGAGCAAGAAUUCCUUUCCUGCCAAGUUGCCCUGGACAGAAAUCCUGCUUCAGUAGUUACAUGAUACCACUUGGGGAAAAUGGAGUGAUACCAACUAUACAUCAAGUAUAAUUGUUUGGAUAUGUAAUUUUCCACAGAAGGAUUCAGCAUCAAAAAUUCCACAGUAUUUAGUGCUUGAAUGAAGAACCAGUUAUUCAGAUUAAUGGUGUGCUGUGCCAAAACAACAGUAGCUGCCUCCCAGAGCUAUCUGUGCAGUUAGAAUAUAUUUUCUUCUUUCCAUCCAGAUGUUGAUGUGAUCAGAAAUAUCAGCCAAUUUAUUAAGUUCAGAAGCAGCAUGGCCAAAGCUCAUCCUUAAUCUCGACCCCAUUUCCUGGUAUCCUGCCAGAAGAGAUCCUGACUGCAGCAGCCCAUUAGUUACCAUGGUUGUCCAGAGGUAAAGACAACACCAGGGUUUGCUGCUGAAGAAUGCAAUGUCUUAUUUUCAGGGGGAUUAAGAGCUGCAGAUAUUUUGUGUCUGAUCUUUUUAGCUUCAGGUCUACUCUGCCUGCCAAUUUGAGGGUCAGAUCCUAAUCUUCAAAGCCAUCAGCAAGUUUUAAUCUCUUUAAUAUUGGCCGAGCAUCGCUAUCUGCACUAUAGCUAAAGAGCUGCAUCCUCUCAGAAAAGCAGCUCAGAGUGUCCAGGGCAAAGUACACUGAGGCUGAAGACAGAUGGUUUUGGCAGAGGGGCUUCACUACUGGCUCAUCUCCUCAAGGAGGUCACACACUCAGCAGUCCUGAACCAUAAAACCUUGUCUCCUUUCCAAAGUUACCUGCUUUCCAUGUGGAAUGUUCCACUCAUCUUUCUGCUGCAAUUUUUUUUUUUUCAAUAUCAGGAUCUUAGAACUGUCAGCUAAGAUUGCUCAGAUUUAUUUACACUCUAGAAUGAGCAAACCUACUGUCAUUGAAAAGUACUUGCACAAUAAUGAAACAAUAAAUUAUGUUGCUUAUUUUGAGAUACUUUUAAGUGACAUGAUGGAAAUAAAUGCAGUUAGUUCCCAAAUUGAAGUGAUUUUUUGAUACACCUGCAGACCUUUCUUGUGAAAAGCUUCUUUUCCAGUAGAACUGAGUUGAUUAGAAUUAUAAAGUAAAUUUUUCAUUACAGACAACUAUUAUGUUACAUAUGCAGCUCCCUUAAGAAAUGGCCUCUUCUUCCUUUGCACAUAUUCUGAUGGAGAUAAUCCCCUGCAGCUGGUGAUUCAUGCUGAGAUUGCUCAAGCAACUGUUUGAUGCAAGAUUUACAUUUGCAGUAGAGUGCCUACAUUGUGUGAAGGGACUCUUGCAGAAAAAUAGAUUUAUUUUUCCUUUAUAAGCAAUCAGCAGUGUUCCAAGUGGUGAGGCAAUGCUGGGAGUCAGGUACCAGCAUGAAAAUUAUCUGAUCCAUACAGCAGCCUCCAGUUUGCUCCAUUUUUUUUUUUUAAUGAAGAGGAGGAAAUAAAGGGGAAAUGUUAAGCAAAACCAAUCAAAUACUGGCCCCACAACUAUUGUCGCAUUUAUUUUGCAGUUAUUUUUCUGCUUUGGAGUAGGCCAACAGGAGAACUUUGCCUGUUGAUAUUUCUAUGAUUGUUUAGGAGAGAAAGCAGAGACUGUCUUUGCCCCAGUGGUGCUUGCCUUCAUAGCCACCCUCCUAUUUGGCCAGAAACAUUGAAAUCAUUAAAUCAGCACCACUAAUUGCUGCAGCUUCAUUUUCAAACUUUCAGCAUUUAAUAGUUUUAUUUGAUACUUCAGGCCCUGAAGAAUCUCAACCCUCACUUUUGAAAAGUUAUUAGGUCUCACUGAGAAGAAAAAUGAAAGAUGAAUCCAAGUGCACCUUAAGAGCUGAGAUUUACAGCGAAACUGUCUUCAUUUAUUAUUUCCCAGCUAGAUUGCAUAAUUUGUGAUAUUUACACAAUAUAACAACUAUAUAUGUUUAAAAUUAUUAAUUGUAUAUAUAUGUGUGUGUGUAUGUAUAUGUGUAUAUAUAUAUAUAUAUAACAAUUUUGCCAAAGAUUCUGUUAUAGAUAUCAAUUAUUUUUUUUUCUGAGAGAACUUUUUUAUAAUUUAAGUAUUAAAUGGUUUCCCCUCAAAGACACUUUGCAGAUUCCAGUUUUGUGAUUCACUGAUGAAGGGAGUUAUUUUCAAUCUUUCCCAUGAUCUCAGUGUCAUGGGAUUUUUGUUCUCUGGGAGCCAUGAUGACACAAAUAACAUUAGCAAUAACAAAUGGUUUAUCCAUAUUGAAUUUGUGAUAAGAAAUCAACUCAUGGCUCCUGAUAAUUUCUUAGUGGGCAGGAGGUUUUGUUUCCAGCUGCCAGUACAAACCCAGCUGUUAUCAGCUGGGGAAGGCUGCAUAGACUCAACCAGAAUUCAGCAGACCAUUUAUUUACAUCUUUUCCUUGUGCUUUCUGAGUAAUUUGUCAAGUGACAUACUCUCUCUGCUUCAGACAGUAUCUGUAAAAUGGGAUCCUUUAGAUUUCCUUCUGUUUGACUAUAAACAGGUUGUUACAUUUUGUGUCAUCUCUGCCCUUGUAGCAGAGCACUUCACAAAGGAAAAUAAUAGGAGUGAGAAUGAAUAUUGAGUGUUUAUCGCAAGGGGAGCUUGAUUUUGAAGCCUGUAAAUGUAUUUAUGUAUCUGCAUAUAAUGAAUAAAGUUAUUAAUAAAGUGAUAAAACUUUUAAAUGAUGAGGAGGCUUAUCCAGUGUGCAAAUUCCUGAUGCUGCAGGUCGGGUUAU
Long non-coding RNA from Passer domesticus (house sparrow), 6196 nucleotides. RefSeq lists it as uncharacterized. NCBI's taxonomy places the organism in Eukaryota, Metazoa, Chordata, Aves, Passeriformes, Passeridae. The transcript has 3 exons. The record is from RefSeq and is a predicted model, not a curated record.